RNAcentral lists this ribosomal RNA (1546 nucleotides) under Swampomyces armeniacus. RNAcentral describes it as "bacterial SSU rRNA". It matches the Rfam family "Eukaryotic small subunit ribosomal RNA". The record is from RNAcentral. Lineage: Eukaryota; Fungi; Ascomycota; Sordariomycetes; Torpedosporales; Etheirophoraceae.
GCUUGUCUCAAAGAUUAAGCCAUGCAUGUCUAAGUAUAAGCAAUUAUACAGCGAAACUGCGAAUGGCUCAUUAUACAAGUUAUCGUUUAUUUGAUAGUACCUUACUACAUGGAUAACCGUGGUAAUUCUAGAGCUAAUACAUGCUAAAAAUCCCGACUUCGGAAGGGAUGUAUUUAUUAGAUUAAAAACCAAUGCCCUUCGGGGCUAACAGGUGAUUCAUAAUAACUUCUCGAAUCGCAUGGCCUUGCGCCGGCGAUGGUUCAUUCAAAUUUCUUCCCUAUCAACUUUCGAUGUUUGGGUAGUGGCCAAACAUGGUGGCAACGGGUAACGGAGGGUUAGGGCUCGACCCCGGAGAAGGAGCCUGAGAAACGUAAGUUUGGCAGUCUAAUUUGAUCUCCUGAGGGUUAUUUGCUGACAUAUAUAUUCUAGGGCUACUACAUCCAAGGAAGGCAGCAGGCGCGCAAAUUACCCAAUGCUGACUCAGCGAGGUAGUGACGAUAAAUACUGAUACAGGGCUCUUUUGGGUCUUGUAAUCGGAAUGAGUACAAUUUAAAUCCCUUAACGAGGAACAAUUGGAGGGCAAGUCUGGUGGACGCUCAGUCCCGUGCUGGCGCCAGAUAGAGCGGCUGGGGCCGCUAGUCGAGCACCCGCACUACCGGCGGGUGGGUGCCGGCAAGACAACCUGGUUCGGGGGAGGCUACGGGCAGCUCCUGCCUAUGCUAAUCCCGAGGGGAGCUCCUUCCGUUGGAGCCCCUGUAGAGCGCGCAAAGGUGUCGGUCGCGGCUUCCGCGGCUUAAGGUACGUGCCAUCCCCCUCGAAAGAGGUGCCUUUUCUCCAAGCGCCCGCCGCGCGAAGAAUAAAGGGCUGUGUCCGCCCCUCGGGGGCCGAUGCGGUGGUUUCCAGCAGCGAACAUAUCUUUUCGAGCUGCGACUCAAUUCAAAAACUGGCCAGCAGCCGCGGUAAUUCCAGCUCCAAUAGCGUAUAUUAAAGUUGUUGUGGUUAAAAAGCUCGUAGUUGAACCUUGGGCCUGGCUGGCCGGUCCGCCUCACCGCGUGUACUGGUCCGGCCGGGCCUUUCCCUCUGUGGAACCCCAUGCCCUUAACUGGGUGUGGCGGGGAAACAGGACUUUUACUUUGAAAAAAUUAGAGUGCUCCAGGCAGGCCUAUGCUCGAAUACAUUAGCAUGGAAUAAUAAAAUAGGACGCGUGGUUCUAUUUUGUUGGUUUCUAGGACCGCCGUAAUGAUUAAUAGGGACAGUCGGGGGCAUCAGUAUUCAAUUGUCAGAGGUGAAAUUCUUGGAUUUAUUGAAGACUAACUACUGCGAAAGCAUUUGCCAAGGAUGUUUUCAUUAAUCAGGAACGAAAGUUAGGGGAUCGAAGACGAUCAGAUACCGUCGUAGUCUUAACCAUAAACUAUGCCGACUAGGGAUCGGGCGAUGUUACUUUUUGACUCGCUCGGCACCUUACGAGAAAUCAAAGUGCUUGGGCUCCAGGGGGAGGUAAGAAUCAAUCUUCAGUGGUCUUUUUUCUGAUGGGGCGUAUGCUAAC